UUUUUCAGUGUAGUAGUGACAAAUGCACCGGCAUCAGUUCCAACUGCCAUUUAAGUUUUUGUUACAAAGUCAACAACGAUGUGGAGCACGAGGUGGAGCAUAUAAAACGAAAUAUGUAUGCCGAAAACGAAAAUAAAACGGAUCAGAAUUCAUAUGCAUCUACAAAAAAAAAUAAAAAACUCGAAGGGUAUGUCAUUGUACGAUCGGAUUUGGUUGAGCCGCGAAAAAACGGAUCAAGCAGCACGAUCGAAAUUUGCGAAGAGUCACUGAUGGAAGAUGGAAGGUGAUCCAAGUAACGCACAAAAAAGCGCAAAGCUUUCAAAUAAUCAUGAGGCAGAAGUUUAACAAGUGAACUUAAAGCUAGAAAAACUUAAAAAGAAACAAUUUUAGGAAUUAUGAGACCGGUACGGCUCGGUGAUGCAUCGAUAAUAAGAGAAUCACAUACAUUCCGGUGAUCUUUUUGAAUAGUAUAAGAAAACAGUUAAAAAAAUAUAAAAAAGAUAAUACAAUGUAAAUAAAACUUGUUAAAUGCUCAAUGAUUU
Molecule: long non-coding RNA, 542 nt
Organism: Armigeres subalbatus
Lineage: Eukaryota; Metazoa; Arthropoda; Insecta; Diptera; Culicidae
Exons: 3
Source: RefSeq, a predicted model, not a curated record